This 329-nucleotide ribosomal RNA is filed under the name uncultured eukaryote. RNAcentral's name for it is "partial 18S ribosomal RNA". It matches the Rfam family "Eukaryotic small subunit ribosomal RNA", at positions 1470 to 1796 of the family's 1831-position model. The record is from RNAcentral.
CCCUUAGAUGUUCUGGGCCGCACGCGCGCUACACUGAUGCAUUCAACGAGUCUAAAACCUGCUCUGAUAGGGGUGGGUAAUCUUUUGAAUGUGCAUCGUGAUUGGGAUAGAUGAUUGCAAUUUUUCAUCUUCAACGAGGAAUGCCUAGUAAACGCAAGUCAUCAGCUUGCAUUGAUUACGUCCCUGCCCUUUGUACACACCGCCCGUCGCUCCUACCGAUUGAAUGAUCCGAUGAAUAUCAUGGAUUGAGGAUGCAAGUAGGUUCGCCUAUCUUCAUCUUCGAGAAGUGAAGUAAAUCUUAUCAUUUAGAGGAAGGAGAAGCCGUAACA